UGCAAAUCUAAAAGAUGAAAUGUGCGAACACUAACUCGCUCGAAAGGGGCAACGAUUGACAGGAGAAAAAGCUAAAAGAAACACGCAACUAAGGUCAAUACAUGUAUUACGCAUUGACCUUAGACAAUGCUGGGUCACGCAGCACAUCGGAUCGUCAGAGAGUAUUGAGUAGCUUCAAAGACUCUUAUGUUGCGCGUCGGAGAGCGAAAGGGAAGUUAUUGCAUGCAAACGCCAUAGACACGUUACAUACAUGAACAGAAAAAAGGAAAUUCACAUACCUAUAAAUAUAUACAUAGAUAUAUAUAUAUAAGAAAAGGGCAAAUAUGGUAAGCACACUAAUAAUAAUGAUAAAUAAUAACAAUAUUAUUAUAAUAAUAAAUUCGAUGACAGAGAAGGAAUAAUCUAACUGAUAAUGAUGAAUAGUAAUGAUAAAAACAACAAUAACAUGAUGGUGGUAGUAAUAAUUACGAUGAUGAUACGAAAAUAAACGAGACAAUGGGAAAAUCGUCUCCCCUGGUGAUUACGACACCAAUUCAAGAACAAUAACGAUGUGUAAUACUAUAAAACUGCUGGUGGUCUUGUUAAUAACGUAGUAAUAAUAAUAAUAGCAUAAACAAUGAGAUAAUUAUUAUUAAUAAUGUAGAAAAACGAAAUGAAGUGAAAAGCAGAACGGAUGAAAAAAGAAAGCGUCAGAAAAGAGACCGGUAUAUGACGAUGAACUGGUGAAGAUAUAAAUAGCAGUAAAAAUCUCUAGGUACGAUAUUAUGGGAAAGGCAACACGCAAGUUCUUCUUGCACGUCAAGUAUUUAUCUUAAAUAAAAGUAUUCCUAGACUAUCUAAAUAUAAUUUGUCUAUGUGUGUACUUAGUUAGAGUUUGGGUGGAACUCGAUUUCUCUUGGAUACUAAUAACAAGUAUCGGUAAAAUGUAUUUCUAAGUAAACCUGUUAUAUAAGUUAUAAUGGAAGAAGGAGUGAUUAAGUAAAACAAUUAGAAAUAAAUAAGACAAAAGCUACAUUGCAUCAUCGUUUACUUAAAGGGCAAGAGAGCUUCUGACCAUUAUUUUCGUCUAGGACUCACCUGUAUCAGUUAGUCAUAGUUAAAUUUUCGAAAAUAGCAAUUAAAGUCGUCAGUAUUUUACCCUAUUGAGAUUACGGCUGCAGAAAAUCCGUCCGCUUGAAUGACUAAUCAGAUUUCAUGCUUUUGUGUUUCGGAAUUGUUUAGCAAUAUUCAAAUGUAAAGCCAGUGCUUCUUCGUUUGACAAAAAUAUGCCUUUCUUAAAUAAAGCCCCCUAUUUAAAGCCUAGCAUUUCUUACUUAAGGACCAAUACCCCAGGCGUAAAGACGUUACUUUUGAGAGCGGAAAUUUGGAGGAUCACAAGUAAAACGUCGAUUCGUGCCUUAGUACGACAUUAUAAGAUAGACGCCGUAAGGAGGAUCGGAGUGAUAAACAGAAAUGUUAGGAAAGUCAGGAAACUUUUCGUACUGUUAAGAACCGGUUAUCUCUGCUUUGUAAUGAAGAUAUAUGAAGCCGUCGAUCUGCGUCGGCAUCAUCUUUUCGGUUACAGCGUAAUGUAGGGCUGACGUCUCCGAGCGAAUCCGACACUGCCUUAAUUAAGCACUGCUGUAAACGGCUAUAUCCCAAGACAAAGCGGAUUAGUCGGCCGUUGGAUUCUGAUCUAGACCACUAUAACUUAAUAAUCAAACCCGUUAUCACGACACCAUCACAGGAGCUCUAUUUUGUUUUGUGCUGAACAAAGCAUGAAUUUCCAAGACAUUGUUGACGGUUAUGAUUAAGCUGAUCUACUGUCUAUACUAAUGGAUCGUAAAUAAGUUCAUGUGUGAUUGUAAUUCUGUGAAGAUAUUGAAGACAUUGAUGAACAUGGUUACGCGUAUCUCUGUAAUCAACGAUUCGUUUAGCUGAUAACAAGAUGAUCUACUUUAAUCGAUUUGGUCACUUCACUAGAAAGUAGCAUAAGAUAAAUCGUGUCGUUUUCGAUAUUUUUAUCUCUGUUCAUUGUUAGCGUACAGUUUAAUCAUAACUAGCCUACGUAGCUUGCUUUAGCAACCCUCUUGGGAGGGGUUUCGACAGGACUAAGCCGACGAACAAUAGGGGCUCACUUACAAAGGCUACGUUUAUCAAUUACUUUUGAGAAGCUAUCGUGCAGAGAUUGCUACAUUGCCAGCCGCACAAAUAAAGCCAUAGGACUCUCGUGUCCAAGAGCAAAUGGACUUUUGUAUGAGUGACGGAAUCUACACAGGGUAUAGUAGACAGAUCAUCUUGUUAGAAUCUUCCUAUUAUAAAACUAUAGUGGAAUCAAGUGAGACAUGUGGGCAAGCAGUGGAACCUGCACUAGUCUUUCACACGACCGAUAAUAUGGAAUUUCAAAAGGUUCAAUAUAUUGCUGUCUACAUUUAAGCACGUGCCCAAAAAUUAGUUGUUCCCACGUAUAAAUCACACCAUACAAAUUUAUAUGGACAUUACAAUAUGCAAAUAGAUGCGCUUUCUCUAAGUCGUCUCGCCCUGGGGCAUGCGAAAAUUGCAGUGUCUGUCUUGACAUACUAAACGUAACCAAUGCAUUUUCGUUGGCGUGUUCAGGUUAUAUAAUCAGCUUGCGCUUAGGACAAAGAAAGAGCAAUCAGCUGAUUGUUUAGGGAGUACCAGCUUAUUAUACAGUUAUGAUAAAUGACUGAGUUAAUCAUAUGUAAAGUUGCAACGUAACAAUAGGGUGUAGAGAUUGUUAUCAUUUAUUUUCAUAGGCCUGUUGGCAAA
This 2769-nucleotide long non-coding RNA is filed under the name Varroa destructor (honeybee mite). Its description in RNAcentral is "uncharacterized LOC111244439". The record is from RNAcentral. Lineage: Eukaryota; Metazoa; Arthropoda; Arachnida; Mesostigmata; Varroidae.